RNAcentral lists this microRNA (22 nucleotides) under Dasypus novemcinctus (nine-banded armadillo). RNAcentral's name for it is "Dno-Mir-582-v1_3p* (star (passenger))". The record is from RNAcentral. Lineage: Eukaryota; Metazoa; Chordata; Mammalia; Cingulata; Dasypodidae. RNAcentral also lists the same sequence under 2 other names.
AACCGGUUGAACAACUGAACCC